GAUGAACGCUGGCGGCGUGCUUAACACAUGCAAGUCGAGCGAGAAGUUUUGAAAAGAUUCUUCGGAUGAAAUUUAAAAUGGAAAGCGGCGGACGGGUGAGUAACGCGUAGGCAACCUGCCCCAUACAAAGGGAUAGCAUUUGGAAACGAAUAUUAAUACCUUAUGAAACUUAACUAGUGCAUGCUAGGUAGGUCAAAGAUUUAUCGGUAUGGGAUGGGCCUGCGUCUGAUUAGCUAGUUGGUGAGGUAACGGCUCACCAAGGCGACGAUCAGUAGCCGACCUGAGAGGGUGAACGGCCACAUUGGAACUGAGACACGGUCCAAACUCCUACGGGAGGCAGCAGUGGGGAAUAUUGCACAAUGGGGGAAACCCUGAUGCAGCAACGCCGCGUGAACGAUGAAGGCCUUUGGGUCGUAAAGUUCUGUUCUAGGUGAUGAAAACUGACAGUAGCCUAGGAGAAAGCCCCGGCUAACUCCGUG
RNAcentral lists this ribosomal RNA (479 nucleotides) under uncultured bacterium. Its description in RNAcentral is "partial 16S ribosomal RNA". It matches the Rfam family "Bacterial small subunit ribosomal RNA", at positions 28 to 507 of the family's 1533-position model. The record is from RNAcentral.